AUCGAACGCUGGCGGCAUGCUUAACACAUGCAAGUCGAGCGAGCGGCGGACGGGUGAGUAAUGUCUGGGAAACUGCCUGAUGGAGGGGGAUAACUACUGGAAACGGUAGCUAAUACCGCAUACCAUCAGAUGUGCCCAGAUGGGAUUAGCUAGUAGGUGGGGUGAUGGCUCACCUCGGCGACGAUGCCUAGCUGGUCUGAGAGGAUGACCGGCCCCACGGCAACUGAGGCACGGUCCGGACGCCUACGGUAGGCAGCCGGGGGGAAGUGGGCACAAUGGGCGAAAGCCUGAUGCAGCGAUGCCGCGAGUGUGAAGAGGGCCUUCAGGGUGUAGAGCUCUUACCGCGUGGAGGCGUUACUCGCAGAAGAAGCACCGGCUAACUCCGUGCCAGCAGCCGCGGUAAUAC
Molecule: ribosomal RNA, 406 nt
Filed under: uncultured bacterium
Lineage: Bacteria
Description: partial 16S ribosomal RNA
Rfam family: Bacterial small subunit ribosomal RNA
Source: RNAcentral